GGAGGAGUCGCAUAGUUGGUCUAGUGCGCACGCCUGGAAAGUGUGUAUACCGAAAGGUAUCGUGAGUUCGAAUCUCACCUCCUCCG
This 86-nucleotide transfer RNA is filed under the name Bacteroidota bacterium. Its description in RNAcentral is "Bacteroidetes bacterium (activated sludge metagenome) tRNA-Ser". It matches the Rfam family "tRNA". From Rfam's summary of the family: Transfer RNA (tRNA) molecules are approximately 80 nucleotides in length. Their secondary structure includes four short double-helical elements and three loops (D, anti-codon, and T loops). Further hydrogen bonds mediate the characteristic L-shaped molecular structure. tRNAs have two regions of fundamental functional importance: the anti-codon, which is responsible for specific mRNA codon recognition, and the 3' end, to which the tRNAs corresponding amino acid is attached (by aminoacyl-tRNA synthetases). tRNAs cope with the degeneracy of the genetic code in two manners: having more than one tRNA (with a specific anti-codon) for a particular amino acid; and 'wobble' base-pairing, i.e. permitting non-standard base-pairing at the 3rd anti-codon position. Lineage: Bacteria; Pseudomonadati; Bacteroidota. The record is from RNAcentral.